Molecule: ribosomal RNA, 256 nt
Filed under: uncultured bacterium
Lineage: Bacteria
Description: partial 16S ribosomal RNA
Rfam family: Bacterial small subunit ribosomal RNA
Source: RNAcentral
UACGAAGGGGGCUAGCGUUGUUCGGAUUUACUGGGCGUAAAGCGCACGUAGGCGGAUCGUUAAGUCGGGGGUGAAAUCCUGGAGCUCAACUCCAGAACUGCCUUCGAUACUGGCGAUCUUGAGUCCGGAAGAGGUGAGUGGAACUCCUAGUGUAGAGGUGGAAUUCGUAGAUAUUAGGAAGAACACCAGUGGCGAAGGCGGCUCACUGGUCCGGUACUGGACGCUGAGGUGCGAAAAGCGUGGGGAGCAAACAGGG